AGCAUCCUACUUGGUUAGAGCAUCUGACUGUUAAUCAGAGGGUCCUUGGUUCGAGUCCUAGAGGGGGAGCAGCCA
This 75-nucleotide transfer RNA is filed under the name Flavobacteriales bacterium. RNAcentral describes it as "tRNA-Asn". The stretch from base 5 to 69 matches the Rfam family "tRNA". Rfam says of the family: Transfer RNA (tRNA) molecules are approximately 80 nucleotides in length. Lineage: Bacteria; Pseudomonadati; Bacteroidota; Flavobacteriia; Flavobacteriales. The record is from RNAcentral.